This is a non-coding RNA of Cinara cedri, 267 nucleotides long. NCBI's taxonomy places the organism in Eukaryota, Metazoa, Arthropoda, Insecta, Hemiptera, Aphididae. The record is from the annotation of a GenBank genome assembly.
GAGUUAGAACCAUUAGAGUGAGUUUUUUAAAAUCCCUUUACCACUUUGGCUUUUUUGAACAUUUUUAUGUGCUUUUUUACAAUUUAAGCAGUUUUUUGCAGAUAAUAAAAAUUUGUUUUUUAAUAAUAUGAUAUCUAUGCAAAGCCGGAUUAAAAACCUAUUGUGCCCGAGGCAGAAAUUUCAUAUGUACCCUUUUGACAAAACAUGUUUUAGAAAGCUGCUUGUAGGAAAAUAAAUCUUACUAUUUCACAAAUUGACAAUUGCAUU